RNAcentral lists this long non-coding RNA (561 nucleotides) under Rattus norvegicus (Norway rat). RNAcentral describes it as "long non-coding RNA NONRATT032135". The record is from RNAcentral. Lineage: Eukaryota; Metazoa; Chordata; Mammalia; Rodentia; Muridae.
CUUCCGCAGAGACGCUGGCAGUUCCUGACAGAGGCAAGCGUGGCCUUUCUAGGUCAGCAGAUAAUGCUUUUUAUCGAUCGCGUGGAACAUUUUUUCUUCAGGCUGCCCCUUCGUGUUGGCUAAUGACAUAAACUAAUUUGAAAGCUGUUAGGGUAUAAUACUAAUAUUUAUGGAAGCUCACAAAGAGACACUUGAUGGAGAAGCCUGAAUCGGUUCAAAUGCGCGUUGCUGGGAAACUCUGUCGGAAGGCAAACAGCUGCAUUGAUUUCCAGGAUACGGGGACUCUAAUGGCAAUAUUGCAUAGCAGAGAGAUGAAGCAUUCUUCCAAGGCCACAGAGUGAGGACAUCUUGGAAUUCUAGUCUGCCGGGCUUCUUCAGCCUUUCCCUCAGCCCUGGUCUCUUCACCAGCUGCCAAAUGGUCAUAAUUAUGUGGUCAGAGGAAAAAAACAAUUUUUUUUUUUUUUAGUACUGGAGAUUGAAUUCAGUGAUUCAUUCCCAUCCUUGAACUAAGGUACAUCCUCAGCCAAAAGAAAAUCUUUUAAAAAUGAAAUAAAAUAUGAG